CUUGCACAGGUGGCUGCAUGGCUGUCGUCAGCUCGUGUCGUGAGAUGUUCGGUUAAGUCCGCUAACGAGCGCAACCCUCGCUGUGUGUUAUAUGUGUCACACGGGACUGCCGGUCUUAGGCCGGAGGAAGGUGGGGAUGAUGUCAAGUCAGCAUGGCCUUUAUAUCCUGGGCUACACACACGCUACAAUGGCCAACACAAUAGGUUGCUAAGCCGCGAGGUGGCGCCAAUCCAUAAAGUUGGUCUCAGUUCAGAUUGUAGGCUGCAACCCGCCUGCAUGAAGAUGGAGUUGCUAGUAACCGCAGGUCAGCUAUACUGCGGUGAAUACGUUCCCGGGGCUU
Molecule: ribosomal RNA, 340 nt
Filed under: uncultured Leptolinea sp.
Lineage: Bacteria; Bacillati; Chloroflexota; Anaerolineae; Anaerolineales; Anaerolineaceae
Description: bacterial SSU rRNA
Rfam family: Bacterial small subunit ribosomal RNA
Source: RNAcentral